CCCAUGCACCGUGAGAUCAUGACCUGAGCCGAAGUCGGACGCUUAACUGGCUGAACCACCCAGGUGCCCCAACUCACUUUGAUUUCUUAAGUGUUGAAUGAAAGCUUAGCGAACUUCAGCAGCAUGUUAGGUGUAAGAAAAACAAUUUGAUGGCAGUUACGUUUUUGCGAAAUGUUGGCACUAUUGUCCUGACUCUAUUAUUCCAUCAUAAUAGAUAGAUUUCUUUUCUCUGCACAUUUAUAGGCCUGGGGGGUUCAGUCUCUCUCUUCUGAGUGGGUAGGGAAAAUUUCCUUGAAGCAAAGCCACCGGGAAAAGAUUCUAGGCUUAGCAUCAAGGACAAUGGGUAAGUGGCUUAGAGGGUAUUAGGGAUGGAACAUUUGGUGCUGGGUUUGUGUUUUCUGAUCUCCAACCCAUUUCAAAACGUGGAUUCCCCAGUAGGCCAUUGGGCCGCUGCCUGCAUGUUUCCUCCAGCACCCUGACCUUUGAGCAGGAUGAGAGUUCCUAUGAUGGCUGUCCCCUGGGGUAGCAGCCAAGGUACCCAACCAUCCUGACACAUGAUAAAGAAGCUUCAGGCUAGAAAGCACUCCUGGCAACCCUGUUCUGCCUCUAAUGAGUCAAGUUGGCAGUGAGAUUCCAUGACCUGCGUCCACUUCUGGAAAUACACCCAGAGGCCCUGGGAUCCCACCUGGGGGCUUCCCACAGCUCAAGAUACUGCUUGGUAUUCAUUCUUGGUCCCCACUAAUCUGGAACAUUUCCUGUAGCAAAUACCAGGAUGACAAAUCUAUAGACAUCUGAAUGCCCUAAGAAUCAUGCCUGUCUAACUUGGUCUGUAUCACAUGAGCUUAAUUCAGCAUGAUCUCAUGAGUGCCACGGGCACAUCCUUAUAACUUAGUGUCCUUAUAUCUGAGUUGAUUGAGUGAAUCAUUCUUCUGCAUGGGAAAUUGUUAUUACACGUACAGCACCCAUCUUUAUAGAUGUUUCCAUUUCAUCUAGGUCAAUGUAUUCCUCAGUUCUAACUAGGGUCCUGUUCUCCACUCUCACAUAAAUAUAUUCUCUUUCUUCUUUGAAAGAUUAAUUUUUACUUCUUAUCUAUUAGGGAAGCUCUCUCAGUCAUGGGUGGCCCUGUCUUGUAAUUACCUCCAGGAGUUUUCGUCCAACUUUCCAAUCAGUUUUAAUUAAACUCAUUAUCUGUUUUCCUUUUUAGGCGGAUAGGAGGCAGAGUUCCCAGGAACAGGGUUGUAUGGUAAUAAUCGUUUCAGUUGAUGUGAGAAAUAGGCAGUCUUAGAGUCCCUUGCUAAGCAGAAAAUGCCAAUUCUUUAAGAAGAAAAAUACUUAUAAAGGUAACUCUUGUUUUAUUAGUUAUUUUAGAGUAGGUUCCUAGGCAAGUCAAGUUGAAUCACAUUAUUUUCGAUCAUCAGUCCUGGAGUGUAAGUUGUCCACAGGCAAACAAAGGAUAAGCUGGUUUGGUAGAGACAAGCAUACCAUUUCUUCAUCUGUGCCUGUCUGCUCUCAAGAACAGAUGGGCCCUUCUCUUUUCUCUUUGCCUAAGGUGUAGUGAGUUUAAUGGUAGCCUCUAAAAUACGUGUUCAACCAGAACCUGUGAAUAGGACCUUAUUUGGAAUGGGCCUUGGCUGAUGUAAUUAUGUUAAGAAUCUUAAGAUGAGAAGAGUGCCUGGGUGGCUCAGUCAGUUAAGCUUUUGACUCCUGGUCUCAGCUCAGAUCUUGAUCUCAGGGUCGUGAGUUCAGGCCCCACAUUGGGCUCCACACUGGGCAUGGAGCCGACUUAAAAAAAAAAAAAGGAUAUUAAUAUGUGAUCAUCCUGGGUUUGGAAUAAGCUCUAAUAUCAAUGUCAGGUGUCUUUAGAAGAGAAAGGCAGAGGGAGACAGAGACACAGACACAAAAACAUGAACACACAGAGAAGGUGAUGUGAGGACAGAGGCAGAGAUUGGAGAUAUGCAGCCAAGGAACACCAAGGGUUGCUGGCAGCCACGAGAAUCUAGGAAGAGGUCAGGGAAUGGAUUCUCCCUCAGAGCCUCCAGAAAGAACCAAUCCUGCCCACACCUAGGUUUUGAACUUCUGGCCUCCAGAAUUACGGGAGAAUAAACUACUGGUUUGUGCUAAUUUAUUAUUGCAGCCCUAAGAAACUAACACAUAUGGCAUGUAGCAGGGAUGUGGUGGGUUACUAUUUGCAGUAUCUUUUGGUAUCAUGGGAUAAUCUGGGUUCCCUUCAAGAGAGAGAUUUGGGGACCAGAAGGUUAUUUGGAGCUGGUGGGUUCAGACUGGCUAUUUCAAGGCCUUUGAAGUCAAAGGAGGCCAAGACAGGGGCUGGAGGUCUCCUGGCCCCAUAACACCAGGCACUUGGCUGAAGGAGGAUCAGAAAGGAGUCUACUUCUGUCAUGUGAGACCAGUCCAUGCUGUCUGGGUGGAAAACUAACACUUGCUGAGACAAGAUUUAUUUGGGCUUAGGUAAGCAUAAGGAGAUUUCCACAGAUUGUCCUCUCCUAGGCAGUACUGCAGGCCAGAAAAGAGGUAGCCAAGCCCAUUCUGGGUAUAUUUGAAUCUUAAGAAACACUAGCCUACACUGUGGAAAACAGUAUAGUGGUUUCCCAAAAUAUUAAAAAUAUUACCAUAUGAUCCAGCAAUUCCACUUCUGGGUACAUACUCAAAAGAAUUGAAAGCAGGCUCUCAAAGAGAUAUUUGUACACCCAUGUUCAUAGCAACAUUAUUCACAAUAGCCAGAAUGUGAAAGCAACACAAGUGUCCAUCCACAGAUGAAUGGAUAAGGAAAAUGUGGUAUGUACAUACAAUAGAAUAUUGAGCCUUAAAAAGGAAGGAAAUUCUGACAUGUGACAAUAUAGAUGAAUUUUGAGGACAUUAUGAUAAGUGAAAUAAGCCAUUCAUAAAAGAUAAUACCUAUAUAAUUCCACUUAGAUGAAGUACUUAGACUAGUCAAAAUUAUAUUUGAGAUUUUCCUUGCUUUUUGAGGUAGGCUGUAUUGCUAUAAACUUCCCUCUCAGAACUACUUUUGCUGCAUCCCAAAGAUUUUGGACCAUUGUGUUUUCAUUUCAUUUGUUUUCAUGUAAUUUUUAACUUCUUGGUUGACCCAUUCAUUGUUUAAUAGCCUGUUAUUUAACCUCUAUGUAUUUGUGCUCUUUUCAGACUUUUUUCUUGUGGUUUGUUUCUAGUUUUAUAGUGUUGUGAUUAGCAAAGGUGCAUGGUAUGACUUCGGUUUUUUUGAGAUUUGUCGUGUGGCCUAACAUGUGGUCUAUUCUGGAGAAUGUUCCAUGUGUAUUUGAAAGAAAUGUGUAUUCUGCUGUUUUAAGAUGGAAUGUUCUGAAUCUUUAAAUCCAUCUGGUCUAGUGUGUCAUUCAAAACCACUGUUUCAUUGUUGGUUUUCUGUUUGGACGAUCUGUCCAUCAAUGCAAGUGGGCUAUUAAAGUCUCCGACUAUUUUUGUCUUACUACCGAUUAUUUCUUUUAUGUUUGUUAUUAACUCCUUUACCUAUUUUGGUGCUUUCAUGCUGGGUGCGUAAAUAUUUACAAUUGUUAUAUCUUCUUGUUGGAUUGUCCCCUUUAUUAUUAUAUAGUGUCCUUCUUUGUCUGUUGUUACUAGACUAGUCAAAAUUAUAGAGACAGAAAAUAAAAUGGUGGUUGUCAGGGGCUGGGGAGAGGGAGGAACAGAGGAGUUAGUGUUUAAUGGGUACAAAGUUUCAGUUUUACAGGAAUGAAAAGAUUUAUGGAUACAGAUGAUGGUGAUGGUUGCCCAACAUUAUGAACAUACUUAAUAUCAUUGAACUGUAUGCUUAAAAAUGGUUAAGAUGGUAAAUUUUAUAUAAUACAUAUUUUAUCAUAAUAAAAUGAUUGGAAAAAAAAAGAAACACUGGACUAAUGGACUAAUGCCUUGGCAGAGUCCCCUGAGAGAGAAGUUGAGAGAUAGUCUAUUUGACAUUUUAUCAGUCAGGGCUCUCUACAAACACUGGCACAUUUAGAUCCCUACAGAGUAAAAAUUAAUUGGAAAUAGCUAAUCUUAAUAGAGAAAGAGGAAAGAAUGGCCACUCUCCCUUCCUGGUCACCUGUUAUGGAGAAUCUAUAGACUUCCACUAGUGAUGUCAUCAUCAAAGCUGCCAGAAGAGCCAGAGGAUCUGAGUUCUAACUGGGAGCAAGUUUGUGCAGGUACUGUCUUCAUUGAGACAGAAACACGUGCUAAACAGAGGGGAGAACAAUUCACUCAUGCCCAUGGGACCUGGGUUCUAAUUCUGGCUGUGCUGCUAAUUUCUGCUUGGUAUAUAUCCAUUGGAUUUUUGACUGCCAACAUCUGAAUCCCCUUCCUACCCAUGGGAGAACCCACAGAGCUCAUCUCCUGCCACUUUCCUGGGCUUUAGGAUCUAGAAGAUGCGUCCUUUUUUCAUCCAGUGAUGAGGGUUCACUGUGUGCAUCCGGUGUCCAGCGGAGAAGGUCCAAGCAGAGCUGAAAAAAUGAUGAAGCCUGCCACAGAAUAUUCUUUAUGGAGCGCUGAAAAACCCGCUAUGACACCAUAGUAUCCUAAAGCUAUCCUGGAAUGUUAGUGAUCUUGAGUUACAAGUUCCUAAGAGGAAAGAUUACAGAACUCUGUGAUGCUUUGAAAAAUUCCUACUCACAACCUUUUCUCUUUUUCCUCCACCUGACAAGCUAUUCUUAAAACCAUUGCCAUUACUACUAUUUUCUGUUUCUUCAGAUUCACCUACAACCCCUCAAAAAUCCUUGGCUGUGACAUCUUGAGAUUUUGGAACAAUCUAGCUCAUUAUUGUGACUAGAAACCAGAUAAUGAAAUUUGUGUUUGGCUUAACUACCAGGGAAAGGAGCAUGGAGACAUAAGCCACACAGAGUCUUUCUAGUAUCUUACUUUGAUCAAAUGUCAGGGUUAUGAAUAAUAGAAAUCCUGGUUUAGUUGGGGAGUUGACUAAAUAUCACAGAGUUACUAUGCUAUUCUAAAGUAAACAAACAUGUCUUUUGUUGUCUUUGUCUUUUUUUUCUACAGAUGUAUUUUUAAAAGCUUUAUAUUUUAAUAAUGUGGAUUCAUUGCUAUUGAUGACAUCUGAUCAGUAGCUUACGAAUAUGAAUUGGAAGAUUAAUUAUCUAGGGGAAACUUUGGAAAGGGCUGGAGAAUGUUUCAUUAACAGAGCUGGGUUUCCACGUUGAUGCCGAAAGCACUUCCGUUCCCAGACCUCCUUAUAGCUAUGAUUAUGUGUCCUGAUUCUGGCCAAUGUGAUUAAAGAGGAAAUCAGCAGGAAACUUCUGUAAGGCCUUUCCUCUCUUAAAAGAGAAAUGCUUAUGACAGUGUCGAGUGGUAUCCUGUGGAAUGGACGUGCCACUGUUCAUUUAACUACUCACUGCUGAAGGACACCUGAGUUGUUUCCAGUUUGCAGAUAUCAUGAAGAAAAUUGCUGCGAACAUUUGUACAGAUUUUUGUGUGAAGAUAAAUCUCCAUUUCUCUGGGAUAAAUGCCCAAGAGAGCAAUUUCUGGGUCAUCUGUAUGUUGGUUUAUUUAUCAUUUUCACUGGAGUAUUGACUCUUGAGGACAGGUUCUUAGCUCCAUUUGGAUUUGCAUCACAUAUACUCAGCAUUUGUGUGACAUAUGGUGAUACUCAAUAAAAUAUGGAAGGGCAGAAGAAAGGAAGAAAGAAAAGAGAAAGAAAGGGAAGGAGAGAAAUCUAUCAUUCCCUUAAGUUGUUAGCUAUUCCACUUCCAGACCUCCCAACAUCAUUUUUUUUUAAUGAGUCCGGUAGCUCCAGGGCUGGAUAGUGCCCAGCACAGAGUAGUUGCUUACUAUGUGCUAAAUUACGCAAUGAAUAUUCUAGAGAGUAGAGCAGCUCUUCUCUUCUCUGGCCCCAUCCUCCCUUUGCCCUGCUCCGUCACUCAAGCCCAAGCAUGGGCACACAAAGGCACACGCACACACUCUGGAGCCAUAUCCUAGGGAUCUUUUUCUGGAACCAAGCCAACAACUAACAAAUGAGGUGCUGUUGCUUCGAAGCUGAGCUAACAACAGCCUUGGCCUUGUCUGUGCAACUGCCUAGGAAAUUACAAAUGCAGGAUUUGGGGACCCAGCAGCUUUGUGGACUCGUUCCAAUGAGAAUACAGGAUGCACUUGAAAUAAAGAAUGCUUCUUUGUGACUCAUUAAGCUCUUCUCCGUUCCUCUCUAUUAGGCAUGUGUCUGCCACGCCAGGCAAAGCUAUGACCUUCAAAAGUGGAAGAGUCAGGCGGAAAUAAAAACAUUCCACUUCAGCGCCUAAACCAUGUGCCCCUUAAUCUGAAAUAAAUCUGUGACAACUGACAGCUACUUCUUUCAGACAGUUGUGGAGAAAGGCUUGACUUGUCCUAGUAAAUCAGACACAGGCUUCAUUAUUUUUAGUCUCGUUAAAAAAAAAAAAGUUACCAUAGCAACUGCACCAUCAUCUAGGGCAAAUAUUAUCUAAGUCAAUAAAAAGAGGAACUGUCCCAAAUACCCAGUACUUUGAAAGGAAGAAAUAUCUUUUCAAUAAAAUUAAUUUCUUCCAAGA
Leopardus geoffroyi (Geoffroy's cat) is the source of this 6536-nucleotide long non-coding RNA. RefSeq lists it as uncharacterized. Lineage: Eukaryota; Metazoa; Chordata; Mammalia; Carnivora; Felidae. The record is from RefSeq and is a predicted model, not a curated record. The transcript is spliced from 4 exons.